RNAcentral lists this ribosomal RNA (274 nucleotides) under uncultured bacterium. RNAcentral describes it as "partial 16S ribosomal RNA". It matches the Rfam family "Bacterial small subunit ribosomal RNA", at positions 523 to 796 of the family's 1533-position model. The record is from RNAcentral.
AUACGGAGGGGGUUAGCGUUGUUCGGAAUUACUGGGCGUAAAGCGCACGUAGGCGGAUUGGAAAGUUGGGGGUGAAAUCCCAGGGCUCAACCCUGGAACUGCCUCCAAAACUAACAGUCUAGAGUUCGAGAGAGGUGAGUGGAAUUCCAAGUGUAGAGGUGAAAUUCGUAGAUAUUUGGAGGAACACCAGUGGCGAAGGCGGCUCACUGGCUCGAUUCUGACGCUGAGGUGCGAAAGCGUGGGGAGCAAACAGGAUUAGAUACCCUAGUAGUCC